GUGGCGCAAAGGUAGCGCGAUUGACUUCUACAGCAAGCGAUAGAGCAAUCAAUAGGUUGCGGGUUCGAGUCCCGCC
RNAcentral lists this transfer RNA (76 nucleotides) under Phaeodactylum tricornutum CCAP 1055/1. It matches the Rfam family "tRNA", at positions 7 to 64 of the family's 71-position model. From Rfam's summary of the family: Transfer RNA (tRNA) molecules are approximately 80 nucleotides in length. Their secondary structure includes four short double-helical elements and three loops (D, anti-codon, and T loops). Further hydrogen bonds mediate the characteristic L-shaped molecular structure. tRNAs have two regions of fundamental functional importance: the anti-codon, which is responsible for specific mRNA codon recognition, and the 3' end, to which the tRNAs corresponding amino acid is attached (by aminoacyl-tRNA synthetases). tRNAs cope with the degeneracy of the genetic code in two manners: having more than one tRNA (with a specific anti-codon) for a particular amino acid; and 'wobble' base-pairing, i.e. permitting non-standard base-pairing at the 3rd anti-codon position. Lineage: Eukaryota; Bacillariophyta; Bacillariophyceae; Surirellales; Neidiaceae. The record is from Rfam by way of RNAcentral.